Molecule: ribosomal RNA, 256 nt
Filed under: uncultured bacterium
Lineage: Bacteria
Description: partial 16S ribosomal RNA
Rfam family: Bacterial small subunit ribosomal RNA
Source: RNAcentral
UACGUAGGUGGCGAGCGUUGUCCGGAUUUAUUGGGUUUAAAGGGUGCGUAGGCGGCUUUGUAAGUCAGUGGUGAAAUACUCCAGCUUAACUGGAGGGGUGCCAUUGAUACUGCGGAGCUUGAGUACAGAUGAGGUAGGCGGAAUUGACGGUGUAGCGGUGAAAUGCAUAGAUAUCGUCAAGAACACCGAUAGUGAAGACAGCUCACUAAGCUCAAAACUGACGCUGAGGCACGAAAAGUGUGGGGGAUCAAACAGG